GUUGAAGAACGUAGCGAAAUGCGAUACUUGGUGUGAAUUGCAGAAUCCCGUGAACCAUCGAGUCUUUGAACGCAAGUUGCGCCCGAAGCCAUCAGGUUGAGGGCACGUCUGCCUGGGCGUCACAUAUCGUUGCCCAAUGCCUAUUGCAGUGCAAUAGGAAUUUCUAGGGCGAAUGAUGGCUUCCCGUGAGCGUUGUUGCCUCGCGGUUGGUUGAAAAUCGAGUCCUUGGUAGGGUGUGCCAUGGUAGAUGGUGGUCGAGUUAGAACGAUACCGAUCAUGUGCAUGCUCCCCAAAAUAUGGCCUCUAUGACCCACACGCGUCUUUUGACGCUCAUGACGAGACCUCAGGUCAGGCGGGGCUACCCGCUGAAUUUAAGCAUAUCAAUAAGCGGAGGA
Molecule: unclassified non-coding RNA, 395 nt
Filed under: soil metagenome
Description: partial contains 5.8S ribosomal RNA, internal transcribed spacer 2, and large subunit ribosomal RNA
Rfam family: 5.8S ribosomal RNA (bases 1-122)
Source: RNAcentral